This 2073-nucleotide long non-coding RNA is filed under the name Capsicum annuum. Its description in RNAcentral is "long non-coding RNA (CANN_LNC000884)". Lineage: Eukaryota; Viridiplantae; Streptophyta; Magnoliopsida; Solanales; Solanaceae. The record is from RNAcentral.
AAUCAGCCGCCCCCUAUCUCUAGAUGCUCUCUCUCUCCUCUCUCUCUAUAUUCUCUUUAAAAACCUUACAACCGUUGCCUCUCCUUUUUUGGUGAGCCCACGCCGGUGACACCUUCCCUGAGUCUGCCACUGCACCAGCCAUGGUGCCUUCACCAACAAUGGACAGAACCCAACCUCACUGCCUCACCUCUUUCUCCGGCAAAACCACCGCCAGCAGCCCUCAAAACUAUUGAAACUCGCCUCCAAUAGCAAUGACUAGCGACGACCUACCUCUGUCCUUCCAGAUCUGCUAUCGCCAUCAACAACCCUCUCUGCCUCCAUGCAACUAGCCUCCUAUCGCUGAUCGGAGCUACCACUCCAGCGUCGCCCCCGAUCUUACCCUUCCCUGCAUUGGUAAAACAGCGACGAGCAUCCCCCUCUCUAGCCGUGAUUCAACCCCCUUCUAGUCCAUUCUUCGACCAAACAGCGGCUAGACAGCCAUCCCACUGCACCAUUGUCACCCCCACCUUCUGCCAGUACCACCAAUGACCUCCAUUUGGUUUGUUUUCUAAAAUAUUUCAAGUGGCAUGUUUUCUUAGUUAAAUAAAUUAGUUUUUCAGACAUACAAUGUGUGACACUCUGUUUGAUAUGUUUUAUUACAAAUGCUUUUCUGUGAAAAGAAUCGAAUCCUUAGAUUUUUGGUCCGAUAAACUGUGCAUGUUUGUUGACUGUUUGUUUUUAUCACCUAUCAGACAAAAUUACAACCUUUCUUACUCUAUUUGAUUUCAAACGAUGUGUUCUGUCAAAUAUUAUAGCUUCAGGGCAUCUAUUCGAUCUCGGAUUGUAUGACAGCUUAGUAUUGAAUUAUAUUUGACAUGUUUUGAUUGAUUUUUCUCUAUCCCUUGAUUGAUGUGAUUUUAGUAUUGAAAUUGAUAAAUUAUUUUUGGCAUAUUCGGAUACCUGGUUGGCUUUAACUUGUGGUGUGUAACAUAUUUUUGGCAAGAUAGGAUUCAAUUGUGCAUAAAUAAUUUGACAGCUCUAUGUUGUCAGUUUUGUCAUUUAUGGUGAGUAAGUUUUAUUAUUCUCAUCAAAUAUUCUUAUUGAUGCAUUUUUGGUAAAUUACGUUUGAUUAAUAUGUUUUUUCUUUUAUUUAUUUUUGACUGAUUCUAUUGCUACGUGUUAUCUUUAUAUUUAAGGAAAGUUUUGUUUAUUUGUUACAUCAAAUAUGUUCUUUGUUGAUUGAUAUCUCUCUUCCUUAUUAUGUUUGGACUGAUUUUAAAAUUAAUUGACUUAUAUAAGUGUGAAAAUUUCUUGAUUGAUUGAUUUUAUUUUUUUCGAAUUUACUAACAAAAGAUAUUCUCUUUUCUUUAUUUGUCUGACCCAUUCACUAUACAAACCCGCCUCUCCUUUCAUUGAGGGACAAGUUCACACGGCUUAAGUUUCACAAUUCAUAAUCACUACUCUCUUAACUAAAAUUAUUGGCUACUUUCAUACAAAAAUAAUUAGAUACUUUAAAGGUUCUUUGGUUCUCCUGCAAGGCUGCUGAAAAACACUUUGCGUAUUUCACUAUUACAAUUUGCUUGGGUUGUAUUACUCUUAUUAUCUAUUUUACUGUUGGUAAGUUCACGAAUCGACGCAAUUAUUUUAUUCUCUGUGUAUGUGUUGACUACAUGAUGGUUUUAGGAACAUGCCUAUAAGAAUAUUUCGAUGUUUGUUCUUGUUUUUAUGCUAUUAUGUAUUGUUUCGCAGGCCUAAUUCGACACGAGAUUUUGAAGAGUCGCCCGGAGAUAGGGAGAGGAUUGUUGUUUAAUUCUCUUCUUUAAUCUGGCUAUCACUUAUGUUGUAAUACCCUCUGUAAAAUGUUAUUAUUAAUGUAAUAAUAAUUUGGGGACUACUUUGGGGGGCGAGGACUUACGUGAACUAUGAAUGGCAUAGAUAGACACAACGUAGGUUUUACGUGUAUUACAUGCUACGUGGAUCAUUUAGGCACAAACUUAGGAUUUAUUAAUAUGCAAAUCAUUAUCCACGGUUUAUUAAAUAUCCCUAAAAAUCGUCAUACUAAACUAUUUGACAUCAAGCAUAUUAGCAUAUUGA